CACGCAGUAAACGAUGCCGACUAGGCGUGGGGGGAGUUGACCCCCUCCGUGCCGGAGCCAACGCGGGAAGUCGGCCGCCUGGGGAGUACGGCCGCAAGGCUAAAACUCAAAGGAAUUGACGGGGGCCCGCACAAGCGGCGGAGCGUGCGGUUUAAUUCGACGCAACGCGUAGAACCUUACCAGGGUUUGACAUGCACCUGCAGAGCCGGGAAACCGGUUGGCCUUCGAGGGUGGUGCACAGGUGC
RNAcentral lists this ribosomal RNA (245 nucleotides) under uncultured bacterium. Its description in RNAcentral is "partial 16S ribosomal RNA". It matches the Rfam family "Bacterial small subunit ribosomal RNA", at positions 796 to 1041 of the family's 1533-position model. The record is from RNAcentral.